UGCUAGUUGUGCGGGUUUAGACCCGCAGCGGAAAGCUCAGUAACACGUGGCCAAGCUACCCUGUGGACGGGAAUACUCUCGGGAAACUGAGGCUAAUCCCCGAUAACGCUUUGCUCCUGGAAGGGGCAAAGCCGGAAACGCUCCGGCGCCACAGGAUGCGGCUGCGGUCGAUUAGGUAGACGGUGGGGUAACGGCCCACCGUGCCCAUAAUCGGUACGGGUUGUGAGAGCAAGAGCCCGGAGACGGAAUCUGAGACAAGAUUCCGGGCCCUACGGGGCGCAGCAGGCGCGAAACCUUUACACUGUACGAAAGUGCGAUAAGGGGACUCCGAGUGUGAAGGCAUAGAGCCUUCACUUUUGUACACCGUAAGGUGGUGCACGAAUAAGGACUGGGCAAGACCGGUGCCAGCCGCCGCGGUAAUACCGGCAGUCCGAGUGAUGGCCGAUCUUAUUGGGCCUAAAGCGUCCGUAGCUGGCUGAACAAGUCCGUUGGGAAAUCUGUCCGCUUAACGGGCAGGCGUCCAGCGGAAACUGUUCAGCUUGGGACCGGAAGACCUGAGGGGUACGUCUGGGGUAGGAGUGAAAUCCUGUAAUCCUGGACGGACCGCC
This 608-nucleotide ribosomal RNA is filed under the name Halobacterium sp. I.C24. RNAcentral describes it as "bacterial SSU rRNA". It matches the Rfam family "Archaeal small subunit ribosomal RNA", at positions 52 to 661 of the family's 1478-position model. The record is from RNAcentral. Lineage: Archaea; Methanobacteriati; Methanobacteriota; Halobacteria; Halobacteriales; Halobacteriaceae.